RNAcentral lists this ribosomal RNA (301 nucleotides) under uncultured bacterium. Its description in RNAcentral is "partial 16S ribosomal RNA". It matches the Rfam family "Bacterial small subunit ribosomal RNA", at positions 509 to 807 of the family's 1533-position model. The record is from RNAcentral.
CAGCAGCCGCGGUAAUACGAAGGGGGCAAGCGUUACUCGGAAUUACUGGGCGUAAAGCGUGCGUAGGUGGUGGUUUAAGUCCGUUGUGAAAGCCCUGGGCUCAACCUGGGAAUUGCAGUGGAUACUGGAUCACUAGAGUGUGGUAGAGGAUAGUGGAAUUUCCGGUGUAGCAGUGAAAUGCGUAGAGAUCGGAAGGAACAUCUGUGGCGAAGGCGACUAUCUGGGCCAACACUGACACUGAGGCACGAAAGCGUGGGGAGCAAACAGGAUUAGAUACCCCGGUAGUCCCUGUCUCUUAUAC